This 1511-nucleotide ribosomal RNA is filed under the name Bacillus pumilus. Its description in RNAcentral is "bacterial SSU rRNA". It matches the Rfam family "Bacterial small subunit ribosomal RNA". The record is from RNAcentral. Lineage: Bacteria; Bacillati; Bacillota; Bacilli; Caryophanales; Bacillaceae.
AGAGUUUGAUCCUGGCUCGGACGAACGCUGGCGGCGUGCCUAAUACAUGCAAGUCGAGCGGACAGAAGGGAGCUUGCUCCCGGAUGUUAGCGGCGGACGGGUGAGUAACACGUGGGUAACCUGCCUGUAAGACUGGGAUAACUCCGGGAAACCGGAGCUAAUACCGGAUAGUUCCUUGAACCGCAUGGUUCAAGGAUGAAAGACGGUUUCGGCUGUCACUUACAGAUGGACCCGCGGCGCAUUAGCUAGUUGGUGGGGUAAUGGCUCACCAAGGCGACGAUGCGUAGCCGACCUGAGAGGGUGAUCGGCCACACUGGGACUGAGACACGGCCCAGACUCCUACGGGAGGCAGCAGUAGGGAAUCUUCCGCAAUGGACGAAAGUCUGACGGAGCAACGCCGCGUGAGUGAUGAAGGUUUUCGGAUCGUAAAGCUCUGUUGUUAGGGAAGAACAAGUGCGAGAGUAACUGCUCGCACCUUGACGGUACCUAACCAGAAAGCCACGGCUAACUACGUGCCAGCAGCCGCGGUAAUACGUAGGUGGCAAGCGUUGUCCGGAAUUAUUGGGCGUAAAGGGCUCGCAGGCGGUUUCUUAAGUCUGAUGUGAAAGCCCCCGGCUCAACCGGGGAGGGUCAUUGGAAACUGGGAAACUUGAGUGCAGAAGAGGAGAGUGGAAUUCCACGUGUAGCGGUGAAAUGCGUAGAGAUGUGGAGGAACACCAGUGGCGAAGGCGACUCUCUGGUCUGUAACUGACGCUGAGGAGCGAAAGCGUGGGGAGCGAACAGGAUUAGAUACCCUGGUAGUCCACGCCGUAAACGAUGAGUGCUAAGUGUUAGGGGGUUUCCGCCCCUUAGUGCUGCAGCUAACGCAUUAAGCACUCCGCCUGGGGAGUACGGUCGCAAGACUGAAACUCAAAGGAAUUGACGGGGGCCCGCACAAGCGGUGGAGCAUGUGGUUUAAUUCGAAGCAACGCGAAGAACCUUACCAGGUCUUGACAUCCUCUGACAACCCUAGAGAUAGGGCUUUCCCUUCGGGGACAGAGUGACAGGUGGUGCAUGGUUGUCGUCAGCUCGUGUCGUGAGAUGUUGGGUUAAGUCCCGCAACGAGCGCAACCCUUGAUCUUAGUUGCCAGCAUUCAGUUGGGCACUCUAAGGUGACUGCCGGUGACAAACCGGAGGAAGGUGGGGAUGACGUCAAAUCAUCAUGCCCCUUAUGACCUGGGCUACACACGUGCUACAAUGGACAGAACAAAGGGCUGCAAGACCGCAAGGUUUAGCCAAUCCCAUAAAUCUGUUCUCAGUUCGGAUCGCAGUCUGCAACUCGACUGCGUGAAGCUGGAAUCGCUAGUAAUCGCGGAUCAGCAUGCCGCGGUGAAUACGUUCCCGGGCCUUGUACACACCGCCCGUCACACCACGAGAGUUUGCAACACCCGAAGUCGGUGAGGUAACCUUUAUGGAGCCAGCCGCCGAAGGUGGGGCAGAUGAUUGGGGUGAAGUCGUAACAAGGUAGCCGU